RNAcentral lists this unclassified non-coding RNA (294 nucleotides) under uncultured Sclerotiniaceae. RNAcentral describes it as "sequence contains ITS1". The stretch from base 1 to 105 matches the Rfam family "5.8S ribosomal RNA", at positions 50 to 154 of the family's 154-position model. Lineage: Eukaryota; Fungi; Ascomycota; Leotiomycetes; Helotiales; Sclerotiniaceae. The record is from RNAcentral.
GAAAUGCGAUAAGUAAUGUGAAUUGCAGAAUUCAGUGAAUCAUCGAAUCUUUGAACGCACAUUGCGCCCCUUGGUAUUCCGGGGGGCAUGCCUGUUCGAGCGUCAUUUCAACCCUCAAGCACAGCUUGGUAUUGAGCCCAUGUCAGCGAUGGCAGGCUCCAAAAUCAGUGGCGGCGCCGCUGGGUCCCGAACGUAGUAAUAUCUCUCGUUACGGGCGCUCGGUGUGCUUCUGCCAAAACCCUUCUCACUUCAAUGGUUGACCUCGGAUCAGGUAGGGAUACCCGCUGAACUUAA